This 473-nucleotide ribosomal RNA is filed under the name uncultured bacterium. RNAcentral describes it as "bacterial SSU rRNA". It matches the Rfam family "Bacterial small subunit ribosomal RNA", at positions 8 to 526 of the family's 1533-position model. The record is from RNAcentral.
AGGGUUUGAUUCUGGCUCAGAACGUACGCUGGCGGCACGCCUAAUACAUGCAAGUCGAACGGAGUAGCAAUACUUAGUGGCAGACGGGUGAGUAACAUGUAGGUAUCUUCCCUUUGGUGAGGAAUAACACGAGGAAACUUGUGCUAAUACCUCAUAAGUCUUUACGGAGAAAGCUUUAUGCGCCAAUGGAUGAGCCUGCACUUGAUUAGUUUGUUGGUGGGGUAAUGGCCUACCAAGACUUUGAUCAAUAGCUGAUUUGAGAGGAUGAUCAGCCACAUUGGGACUGAGACACGGCCCAAACUCCUACGGGAGGCAGCAGUAGGGAAUCUUGCACAAUGGAGGAAACUCUGAUGCAGCGAUGCCGCGUGAGUGAAGAAGGCCUUUGGGUUGUAAAGCUCUUUCGUCGGGGAAGAAAAUGACUGUACCCGAAUAAGAAGGUCCGGCUAACUUCGUGCCAGCCGCCGCGGUGAUUC